CGUUUGUCCGGAUUAGCUGAGAGGUGGUGCAUGGCCGUCGUCAGUUGUACUGUGAAGCAUCCUGUUAAGUCAGGCAACGAGCGAGACCCACGCCCACAGUUGCCAGCGUACUCUCUGGAGUGACGGGUACACUGUGGGGACCGCCGCUGCUAAAGCGGAGGAAGGAAUGGGCAACGGUAGGUCAGUAUGCCCCGAAUAUCCCGGGCUACACGCGAGCUACAAUGGUUGGUACAAUGGGUAUCUACCCCGAAAGGGGACGGGAAUCUCCUAAAACCAAUCUUAGUUCGGAUUGAGGGCUGCAACUCGCCCUCAUGAAGCUGGAAUCCGUAGUAAUCGCGUUUCAACAGAACGCGGUGAAUACGUCCCUGCUCCUU
This 374-nucleotide ribosomal RNA is filed under the name uncultured Methanosaeta sp. RNAcentral describes it as "bacterial SSU rRNA". It matches the Rfam family "Archaeal small subunit ribosomal RNA", at positions 964 to 1338 of the family's 1478-position model. The record is from RNAcentral. Lineage: Archaea; Methanobacteriati; Methanobacteriota; Methanomicrobia; Methanotrichales; Methanotrichaceae.